RNAcentral lists this long non-coding RNA (806 nucleotides) under Homo sapiens (human). RNAcentral describes it as "small nucleolar RNA host gene 20". The record is from RNAcentral. Lineage: Eukaryota; Metazoa; Chordata; Mammalia; Primates; Hominidae.
ACUCGCAGUCCGCAGGAUGACUCAGGGCAGCCCUGACCACAGUUCCGCCGCCAUCGGCCCUAGCCUGCGGAAUUGGGCUCGCCCCGGGACGAUAACAGAGCUCUGCCGGGGGCUGGAGGCACUGACCGGGUGACCAGAGACCCAGAGACCAGACCCCCUCCACGGCGCCCGGGAUUUCGGGGACGGCUUCUCCCAUCGCAAGUAGGGCUUGGACGGGAGGCGACAAAAGAGAACUUGGUCCGCACACAGCCACCGAAAUUGGAAUGAGGAGCUGUAGGGAGGCCCCGUAGCCAGCAGAAAAGCAUUGGGGUCCCUGGCUGGGUUAGCCCAGGUUUCUAGGAGUGUGGUAAGCGUCGAAUGACUUUUGUCCUUUUAAAGCACAUUAUGUUACUUUUUCCCCCAAGGUUUCAACAGAAAAUGAGAAAUAUCCCCCGACGAUUGGCUGAAAACAUGCAGCAACCACUAUUUUCUUCCUGCCCCUCGUUGAUGAGAGCAUUCGAAGUGACCUCAGCAGGGCAUCCAGGUCAGUUUCUGGAAGACUUGUGUGUGUGAUGAAUGAAUAUCUGGUUUUGUCUCUGCUGGGCCUGUGUGCCUGGAAAGGAAUUGUUUUGGCCUAGGAUCAUCCAGAUCAAUUAUGCAGCUACAGCCAAAACCAAGUUCUUUUUAUUGCAAUGGUAAUGAAAGGAGCCCCGUGUAAGUCACUGGAAGGUCACAUGUUCACAGACUGUCAGCUGUGGAGGGUUAUGUAACAGUGGUUAUGCAAUGCCACGUUAGAACUACAGCCCGAGCAGCAAAACAUUUAGAUA